GGUAUGUAGAAAAAACAUUUAAAGCUGUGUCUAUGUCUGAAUCGUCGAAUCUUUCUGAAUCUCUCCAAAUCAAAUCAGCGACUGAAGCUUCGCAUAGCCCUAUUACAGAUGGUCCCAAACAAAUUCAAUUACAGAUUCCAUUGGCACAGGGGACAUAGCUAGACUAUGGGUUUGAUCUCGAUCUGUCGUGGCCAGUCCACAUCUCACCUCUGUGGCCCCUUGUUUCCCCUCAGUCUCAUGCUACAUGAGGUCUCUGUGACCUUCAAGGCCUCCCAUUCCACACAGCCACAUCCUAACCACCCUGCUGCUCCAACCACCCUUAUUCUCUUUGCCCAAGGCCCCACAUCACCCUUUGCACUGUGCUGACUUCCACUGCAAACUCAUGCUGCUUUCUCUACCCUGAUAGUCCCUGCAGCCACUACAGUCACCAUCCUGUCCUAAGCCCAUUUACUGCAGGCUCAUAACCCUUUACUUCCCUUCUCAUGUUCACUUCUGCUUCCCGCUUACUGCUGUUCAUUAAUACACAUAACUUUUAUGCUCUAUGAAAAAAAAUGUAUAAAAUUGAAACUUUCACUAUAAGAAAUAAGAAAAUGUAUCUAAUAGUGUUGGGGUGCUGCUGUAGCCAUGUUGGUCCAGGAAAUAUGUCAGAGGCAAGGAUUUUUGUGGAUGAUACCUUUUUUUGGCCUAACUGCAUGGAAAAAUUGGCAGUCUGUUUUUCAUCUUUGUUGAGCCUGGUUUUUCCUCAGACGUGAAAAAGAAUGCAGUGCAUUCAAAAGCUUGUCUAAGGGCCUUGUUAUAUGUUAAUUUUAAGUGGCUCCUGGAGGUCUUAACACCUGGAUUGUCCACACAUUAUCACCUGAAACUAGUUUUAAGCACUCUAGGCAACUUAAAAGUUACACCACUCCAGCCUUGGUUCAUCUCUGAUAGUGUUACUGACCUCAUGUUACACUAACAUGUAGCCACUCUAGGCUACACAUUAGUGUAAACACCCCCACUCACCCAUCUACCGCCACUGACCUGGAUUGGGCCCACUGCCUCUACCCCACCCUCCCCAGAUCCCCACUCACUGUCCCCCUGUCCAUUUGUGGCUGCCCAUGCUGUCUGUCCCAGGGAAAACAGGCAUGGAAGGGCUAACCUGCCUACCUGGUUGCAACCACCGCAGCUGCUGUUCUCUUCCCUGCCUGCUUCCCUGAGACAGAGGGCAUGGGCAGCCACAAGGUUGGGGAAGGAUGGGAGCUGGAGAGCAGAGGGAACCCCAGGGGCAAGGUGGGAACCCCGGGGGGAGAGGGGGAGCCUGAAAUGGGAGGCAGAGAGGAGAAUGCUUAUUCUUUAGUCCUCCAGGCCCCUGCUGGCCUGAAAGUGUGACUUCUUCAAACUCGAGCUAGCACUAACACCUAUCAACAUUUGAGCAGUUCAUGUGUAACAAGGCCCUAAGCCAAUAAAAGAUAUCAACUACAAAAACUCUUGCCUCUUGAAAUGUAUUUGAGCAACUUUAGUCAUGAAUAGGUCCCCAAAACUAAUUUAAGGCAAUGAUUAAAAUUUAGACCAACCCUCAAUAUGCAGGCCUUUCUGUUGAAAUAAAACAUGUACAUUCAUGGGUUCCUAACAAUACGCAGCAAAUUCCCACUCUGGAAUGAUAUCAUCAUGUCAUAUGUACACUGGUAAAACUCUGGUAUUUGUAGGGAGACAAAUGAGAGAUUGUUGAAAAGAACUCAGUGUGUGCAUUGAGAGGUUGUAUGUUGGAAGUGGAAGGAGUAUGUUGUGCUGGUAAGUCAGUGCAUCUGCUUUACUAUGACAUUUGAAUGGUAAAAAAUUGAGGUUGGCCUGGACACGGAUGUUCCUUUAACUGUUGAGUUACUGGAUUUUUAGGGAUUGUGUUACCAGGCAACACAUAAGGAACUUUAAGUGUCAGUUCUAUGUUGUCAUUAUGUAGACUGUGAAUCAAAGAACAUGAGACAGACGCAUAGUUUUAGAACAAUAGAAUUUAUCUAUUACUAUAUAAAAUAUAGUUGAAAUGUUUAAUUUGUUUUUUAACAAUUUUCCAUAUAGGUUCCUCUGUAUAAAAUAUAUUGUUACAAUUUCCUUAUCCAGAGGUAGCCACCAUGUUACUGGAACAUCAGUGUCUGAAUUUAGAUGGCUGCUAACAAUCUAAUGAAAAAUGUCAAAUACAUAUAAAUUCAGAAAUUUCAUCUAUAGCGCACCAAAAAUCUCUGCUGCAUGUUCUCUGGCCCCUAGUACAUAUAACUAAAAAUAAUACUAAUAAUGGAGAUGGAUUUUAAAUAGAAAAUUAUAUCCAGAGUAUCUAGCAAUCAGUGUUCUUUUAAAUAUCUUAGCCAUUUUAGAAAUUACACUAACAACAGGCUUAAAAUCCUGUUAAUAAAUGUAGGCUUCUAUUUUAGAAAGGCUUUUGGAUAUUGUACUAAAAAAAAAAAAAAAGGUUAUGCCAGAGAAUAGAAAUUAGAGGCUUCAAUAAUACUUCAGUGUAUUGGUAGACAAUUUUACAUCUUAAAAAAAAAAGAAAAACUGCAAAAUGUUUUGCAGCAACAUGUUUAUGAUUCACUUCUACUGGGGUGAGUUUAGGAAACUGCCAACUGAUAACAACUAGUCUGAACUAUAUAAUCUUUGGUAACAGGGAAAAUUGGGCAUUACUUUUGGGGAGAGAAAUAUAUAUUGGGGAUGUUUUAAGUGUGAUUGAACAGAAGGACUUGAUAGUUAUCUGGCCUGUGUAAAGAUGUUUUCUUACUAGAGCUUCCAUCACCUUCUCUACCAACUUCUGAGUAUUUGUUACGCCUAUUUUUGCACCUCUUCUAUUUCAUUGCUUAAUGACAUUAAUUACCCUAUUGCAGACACUGCACCAGAGUCCUGUACGAUGCCAAGCCAAAGGGAGCCUUUUCCCUGACUGGGUCCUGAGCAUAACAAAUAAAACUACUGCAAUAAUAAUACUGCAGCAAAUAAUGUAUUUUUAUAAAACAAAGCUCACAUAAAUGCUGGGCAAAAGAAAGGCACUGUCUUCCCUACCCCCUUCAGCUGUUAUGUGGCCCUGGUAAGUACUGUAUGUGCAUUCAGUGUUCUUGUUUGUAGCUACUACUGUUUUACAGCCCUCUGUGUGAUUACCCAGAGCCUCCAAAAAAUCCCAGCGCGUACUCCUUUGACCACAGGCUACCGCAGCAGGCUCAACAAAUAAUUCUUCUGAGUGGGAGUUAAACAGAGGAAGGAAGAUGAAGGCAAAACUCAGGGAAGGAAACAAAGAUAAAACAUACAUACACAUUAGACCAAGAGGAGAAAGGAAGAAACAGAAGUGACUAAGGGGAGAGAUGAGGUGAGACAGAAAUGCCUUUAUGCAUCUGAACUACACAAGAAGAACAGGGCAGGCAAAAGGCUUCUCAUCCCCUCCAUUCAUACACAUUGAACUAAGGAUAGCUUCAGAGCUGAUGGCGCUUUCUGUAGUCCAUGAUUCGUCACUGUCUGAUUCUUCAUAGUCUACUUCUUCCUCAUCAUAUUCACUACCUAAAUAGGUUGGUGAGAUAAAGCAAGACUAAGGUGUGGGAAUAAAUUGCAUUGUGUGGCUGCCCUGACCAGACCAGACCAGACCAGACCAGACCACCAGACAUUCCAGAUAGGCGACCACGGCUGUUUGAGCAGCUGGUGCCGAGUUUAUUUAUUUUGUUAAGAUUCCAGUAACUAUUAAUAAAAUUUGGUGAAGAAGUUAAAUGCGAAACAAGAGAAAUUGGGAAGGCAGGAUUUCAGCUAUAAAAAAGAUGACGAUUGGGCUCCAAGCGCUGGAAUAAUUCCCAUUGUUCAAGACGGACUUUAUAAUUUUUAUACCACUCCUUUCAGUUGUUUCCUUCACUCGGUCUGUGUGUACAAUGUCUGUAAACAGCUCUGUAGUCUAAGGAGAAAAUGCAGACAGAAAACUCAUGUUUCAGUGUCUGAGUCUUCAUUUUUUAUUUCAUGUGAAAUUAAAUACACACCUAUAGAUGGAAAUUUUUCCUGCUUGAUUUCUUUCACUUUUCCUUUUCUCACUCUCUCUUAAUCUACCCUUUAUUCAUGAGUAAAGAUGCGUGUCAGCUGGUAGCUGUAAGUACUUAGGGAUACUGAGCUUUAAUCAGAUAUUGUAAGUUAGCUCACAGAUGUCAGGCUCUGCUAGUUUCUUUCCUGUGGUUUUCAUUCGUACAGGGUGGUGUGCAGAUGAGGGGAGAUGGAUUGUUUCCCACCAUUAACGCAUAUAGACGCAUACAUACACAUUCACUCACUCUGCAAAAACAUCUGGAAAACUCACCGCUAUUGACUGCAAUUUCUUAUCCCACACAGAAUAAUUGAAAA
Long non-coding RNA from Alligator sinensis (Chinese alligator), 4323 nucleotides. RefSeq lists it as uncharacterized. The transcript has 4 exons. NCBI's taxonomy places the organism in Eukaryota, Metazoa, Chordata, Crocodylia, Alligatoridae. The record is from RefSeq and is a predicted model, not a curated record.